GGGAUAGAAUUCCAGGAGUAGCGGUGAAAUGCGUAGAUAUCUGGAGGAAUACCAAAGGCGAAGGCAGUCCCCUGGUCCGAUACUGACACUGAGGUACGAAAGCGUGGGGAGCAAACAGGAUUAGAUACCCUGGUAGUCCACGCCCUAAACGAUGUCGAUUAGCCAUUGGAAGGACCCCUUUUCCUUUCAGUGACGUAGCUAACGCGUUAAAUCGACCGCCUGGGAAGUACGACCGCAAGGUUAAAACUCAAAGGAAUUGACGGGGACCUGAACAAGCGGUGAAUGAUGUGGAUUAAUUCGAUGCUACGCGAAGAACCUUACCUACCUUUGACAUGGCCAAAGUUCUACCGAGAGGCGGAAGUACUCGUAAGAGGAUUGGCGCACAGGUGCUGCAUUGGUUGUCGUCAGUUCGUGUCGUGAGAUGUUGGGUCUCAGUCCCCGCCAACCGAAACGCAAACCCUUAUCUUUAAAUUGCUCCUAUUUUAACAAGCACUUUAAAGAAAACUGCCAAUGAUAAGUUGGAGGAAGGUGGGGAUCACGUCAAGUCCGCAUGGCCUUUAUAGGUAGGGCUUCACACGUCAUACAAUGGUUAGAACAAAGAGCUGCAAAUUCGUAAGAAGGAGCCAAUCUCACAAACCUAACCUCAGUUCGAAUUGCGGUCUGCAACUCGAGCGCAUGAAGCCGGAAUCGCUAGUAAUCGUGGAUCAGAAUGCCACGGUGAAUACGUUCUUAGGUCUU
This 738-nucleotide ribosomal RNA is filed under the name Candidatus Tremblayella phenacoccinincola. RNAcentral describes it as "bacterial SSU rRNA". It matches the Rfam family "Bacterial small subunit ribosomal RNA", at positions 658 to 1382 of the family's 1533-position model. Lineage: Bacteria; Pseudomonadati; Pseudomonadota; Betaproteobacteria. The record is from RNAcentral.